This is a long non-coding RNA of Polyodon spathula (Mississippi paddlefish), 2112 nucleotides long. RefSeq lists it as uncharacterized. The transcript has 3 exons. Lineage: Eukaryota; Metazoa; Chordata; Actinopteri; Acipenseriformes; Polyodontidae. The record is from RefSeq and is a predicted model, not a curated record.
CUCUUAAUAGACCGUGUUGUUGUUUUGCCGACAUUUCGGGACCUGUUGAAACCAAAAAGCAGGAAAACAAGAGAAUGAAUGCAAGGUGCUGGCGCUUACCAAUAUAAAGACACUUCACUUUGGCUGAUGUAGCAUACAUGACAGGUUUACGGCAGACACCUGGAACCGAAGAGCAGCUCCUGAACUCAGUCAAAGCACCUUAACACAGGCUUAAUGAUUGGAAAAAUCAUAUAAGGAGAAAUUUCAACAGCCUGCUGUUGUCAAGGUUAGCUGCAAUAUGUGACAUUUGCCGCCUUGUGUGCUUUUCCACUGCGUUGUGUGUGAACAUGCCUUUGGGACUGUACCUGCAUAAUACAGUAGGUCCAGCGAGACCGGUUGCAACAGGUCAUAGUUUGUCAGUUUAUAUACACGGUACCUGGGAAACAUGAUUGAUAUUAAAUGCUUUAUACAGUAUUUCAGCAUUCAUAUAGUCAUCAUCAUUUAGGGUGUUAGUAUGUCAAAAUACAAAUAAUGCAAUGUUUCACACUGUACAGUUAAGAGCAUUUAUUUGUACUAAAGGAUUUCUUUCAAUGCUUUAAUUCUUUCUUUUAAAUUAACUUUUUAUAAUCUACUGUACACACAGUUAAUCGACCUGCACCUAAAGUGUAUUAUACAGCAACACAGAGUAUUGUGUAUUGCCAAAAAACUUCCAUUACAUCAUUGUGCUUUUGUUUUAAAGUUAAACUCCCUUUUACAUAAUCACAUUAAAGAAAAUAUGUAACAUGUUUAAUUUCUACACUGAACAGUUUCUAUGGAGGAAACAUAUGUUUUCAUUUUCAGUAGAUUAAAGAAAACUGUUUGUUUGCCUUACAUUCAUGUCCCAGCUGGUUAGUAGGGACAGGAAAGAAAGCAGUGAAGUUUAGUGGUGUGGACAAUUUCUUCAGGUGAAGUGAGCAUGAAAGUGCAGGACUACCUAAAAGUAUGGCAUGUAAAGGGCUUUAUUUAACAUAGUAUCACAUAUUUAUUUAAUUAUUUAUUUUAAAUAAAAACGUGCGUUUGCUUAACAUUUAUGACGGCAAGUCCACCAACAGAAAAUGCAGCAUCUGCCAGGCCAUUGGUACAGCCCGUAAUGAAACUUACAAAUGAAUAUUAAAAACAGUUAUAUUUUAUAACAAAAAAAAAAGUACAAAAACUAGUAAAAAAUACACUACAUUUCAUAUCAUAAUAUUUACUAGAUUAAACACAAGCAGAAGGUAUAAUUUGUAAUUGGACCCCUACUGGAAUUAGCCAUUUUAUAUAAAAGGUAUUACCCAAAAGUCCUGGGAAUGCAUUCUGCUUUAACCCAACCCCCCCCCCCCCCACCAAAAAAAAAUAAGCCAGAAAGCAAAUAGUGAACUUUAAUUUAUUUAAAAUCACAUUUCAAUUUGCAUGACCCACAUCAAUUGAAUCCCACACUUGCAUACAUUACUUUACUGAACAAGAUACAGCGUUUUCAGUCACUAUUUAUUAUUAACAUUCUAAACUGCUAUACAAAUCCAGUACCUCCAGGAGUGUCCACAAAAAGCUUAAAAAUUCCUUAAAAUUAUUAAAUUAACUACAAUAUAAACCAUGAUCUAGGUUUUCUUAAAACAGCACCUCAAAACACACAUAAAUAAGAUUCCUUGCCAUUUUACAAAAAAGGCAGUGGUUUGAUCCAAACAAGAUUCAAGUACUUUUCAUAAAUAGUAUUUAGAAAGCACACACGGUAGCCCUUGGUUGAACAACACAAUAUUAAUUGUAUGAUGGUCAAUGAGGUACGAGAGAUAUACACACCAAAAGUGAUUACUUAUUACUUGCAACAUACUUAUUUUUAUAGGAAGCACGUGUGGAUAUACUGCAUCUUGCAUGACAGUUCUGUGAAUAACGCUUAAUAAAAGUAUUUUCCAGUUCUUCAGUUCAUUAGGGUUAAAAUAAUUUUGGCCCUUAUGGCACAAAGUAAACCUAUAGGUCACAAAAGUUCUGCUUCUACUAGGUUUACAGAAUACUGCAGUAGAUGUUUCUAAAGGACUAGAAGAUACUGAAAGCAACAAAAUUGACAUUUUAACCCUUUGCGGUUCUGUCAGGUCCGACUAAGAUUUUCCCUUUCCAGUCUGA